GUGCCAGCAGCCGCGGUAAUACGUAGGGAGCAAGCGUUGUCCGGAUUUACUGGGUGUAAAGGGUGCGCAGGCGGGUUAGUAAGUCAGGGGUGAAAUCUCACGGCUUAACCGUGAAAUUGCCUUUGAUACUGCUAACCUUGAGUUCGGGAGAGGUCGAUGGAAUUCCAGGUGUAGCGGUGAAAUGCGUAGAUAUCUGGAAGAACACCAGUAGCGAAGGCGGUCGACUGGCCCGUAACUGACGCUCAGGCACGAAAGCGUGGGGAGCGAACAGGAUUAGAAACCCUCGUAGUCC
RNAcentral lists this ribosomal RNA (292 nucleotides) under uncultured bacterium. Its description in RNAcentral is "partial 16S ribosomal RNA". It matches the Rfam family "Bacterial small subunit ribosomal RNA", at positions 505 to 796 of the family's 1533-position model. The record is from RNAcentral.